AUUGAACGCUGGCGGCAGGCCUAACACAUGCAAGUCGGACGGUAGCACAGAGAGCUUGCUCUCGGGUGACGAGUGGCGGACGGGUGAGUAAUGUCUGGGGAUCUGCCCGAUAGAGGGGGAUAACCACUGGAAACGGUGGCUAAUACCGCAUAACGUCGCAAGACCAAAGAGGGGGACCUUCGGGCCUCUCACUAUCGGACGAACCCAGAUGGGAUUAGCUAGUAGGCGGGGUAAUGGCCCACCUAGGCGACGAUCCCUAGCUGGUCUGAGAGGAUGACCAGCCACACUGGAACUGAGACACGGUCCAGACUCCUACGGGAGGCAGCAGUGGGGAAUAUUGCACAAUGGGCGCAAGCCUGAUGCAGCCAUGCCGCGUGUAUGAAGAAGGCCUUCGGGUUGUAAAGUACUUUCAGCGGGGAGGAAGGCGAUGCGGUUAAUAACCGUGUCGAUUGACGUUACCCGCAGAAGAAGCACCGGCUAACUCCGUGCCAGCCGCCGCGGUAA
This 504-nucleotide ribosomal RNA is filed under the name uncultured bacterium. RNAcentral describes it as "partial 16S ribosomal RNA". It matches the Rfam family "Bacterial small subunit ribosomal RNA", at positions 29 to 523 of the family's 1533-position model. The record is from RNAcentral.